UACGGGGGGGGCAAGCGUUGUUCGGAAUUACUGGGCGUAAAGGGCUCGUAGGCGGCCAACUAAGUCAGACGUGAAAUCCCUCGGCUUAACCGGGGAACUGCGUCUGAUACUGGAUGGCUUGAGUUCGGGAGAGGGAUGCGGAAUUCCAGGUGUAGCGGUGAAAUGCGUAGAUAUCAGGAGGAACACCGGUGGCGAAGGCGGCUACCUGGACAGAAACUGACGCUGAAGCACGAAAGCUAGGGGAGCAAACAGG
RNAcentral lists this ribosomal RNA (253 nucleotides) under uncultured bacterium. Its description in RNAcentral is "partial 16S ribosomal RNA". It matches the Rfam family "Bacterial small subunit ribosomal RNA", at positions 524 to 776 of the family's 1533-position model. The record is from RNAcentral.